Molecule: non-coding RNA, 84 nt
Filed under: uncultured Sporolactobacillus sp.
Lineage: Bacteria; Bacillati; Bacillota; Bacilli; Caryophanales; Sporolactobacillaceae
Description: TPP riboswitch (THI element)
Rfam family: TPP riboswitch aptamer (THI element)
About the family: Vitamin B(1) in its active form thiamin pyrophosphate (TPP) is an essential coenzyme that is synthesised by coupling of pyrimidine and thiazole moieties in bacteria. The previously detected thiamin-regulatory element, thi box was extended, resulting in a new, highly conserved RNA secondary structure, the THI element, which is widely distributed in eubacteria and also occurs in some archaea.
Source: RNAcentral
UUCCACUAGGGGUGCGUUUUGCUGAGAAGGAUAAAUCCUGACCCUCGGACCUGAUCUGGGUAAUACCAGCGUAGGGAAGUGGCG